RNAcentral lists this ribosomal RNA (320 nucleotides) under [Candida] sp. LoBar95 Y4. RNAcentral describes it as "LSU rRNA". It matches the Rfam family "Eukaryotic large subunit ribosomal RNA", at positions 331 to 670 of the family's 3401-position model. Lineage: Eukaryota; Fungi; Ascomycota; Saccharomycetes; Saccharomycetales. RNAcentral also lists the same sequence under 1 other name. The record is from RNAcentral.
AGACCGAUAGCGAACAAGUACAGUGAUGGAAAGAUGAAAAGAACUUUGAAAAGAGAGUGAAAAAGUACGUGAAAUUGUUGAAAGGGAAGGGCUUGAGAUCAGACUUGGUAUUUUGUAUGUUACUCUCUCGGGGGUGGCCUCUACAGUUUACCGGGCCAGCAUCAGUUUGGGCGGUAGGACAAUUGCAAAGAAAUGUGGCACUGCCUCGGUAGUGUGUUAUAGUCUUUGUCGAUACUGCCAGCCUAGACUGAGGACUGCGGCUUCGGCCUAGGAUGUUGGCAUAAUGAUCUUAAGUCGCCCGUCUUGAAACACGGACCAAG